This is a long non-coding RNA of Arachis stenosperma, 313 nucleotides long. RefSeq lists it as uncharacterized. The transcript has 3 exons. The record is from RefSeq and is a predicted model, not a curated record. Lineage: Eukaryota; Viridiplantae; Streptophyta; Magnoliopsida; Fabales; Fabaceae.
CAGCGUGAAGCACCCAGGGAAGAGAAGUAGCGCCGAACCUUUACGGCAAAUUUCCGUACGCCGUAACUUCUCCGUCCGAACUCUGAUCGCCGCACCGUUUGCAGCCACGCGUCCACCGCGUCGAGCUCUGCAUUUCUAUCGGAACAAUUUCAUAGGAUCCAAUUAGCUUGAGGAAAACGUUCACUCUUGCUUAUGUGAAGUUUGGGUAAGGUUGUGAAUAAAUAAUUGGAGCUUGAAAUUGUGAAUAUUGGAACUUGGAGAAAGCUGAUUAGUUGAAUUUUGAAGGGGCUGCCUUGGUUUUAAAUAAUUUGCU